GUCUUUUUAUUCUCUCUCUCCCCACCCCUGGUGACAUGACACCGCUCCCACGGGUGACCAAAUGCCACCAAGUUUCUGCUCCGCGUGGGAAGAGGAAAAUGCGGAAAGAGAAAGGGGCAGCGUCAGGACUGUUCAAACACUGGAGAGGAAAGGGACCGGAAAUGAGCUCGGAGACCUGGAGAAUCAAGUGCCUAGCAGGGAGACAGUAGACGGCUGGAUAUAUGCGAAGAUGAGUUCCUCUUCCUACAUACGUUGGUCUCAACAUAGCCAGUGCUGAGGAGAAUGGCUUAUAAAGGAAAGCAGGAAGAUCAUAGCCAGCCCCCAUCAAGAUAAUGGAGGUGAAUGUGCUUUGAGAAGUGUGUGCAAACUGAUUUUACCAUCUCACUGCGUCUUAUCACACAAGAAGUAUCUCAAACCUAAGAAGGAAGCUGCUGCCUGAAAAUAAGGAGGGAGCCUGCAACGUUCAGAGGAGACAACUUCAGCCAGGGUCCUUCAGCUAUCGACCGAGCAAAGACGGAAGAAUGCCCUCUCCUGGACUGCACCAGAAAACCCUCAUUUUGCCAAGACACUUAUUUCUCCAUGAUGGAGUGUUUUGUUUUUGAUGGUUUUAAAAUAUAUUUGAUGGGCUGGAGAGAUGGCUCAGAGGUU
Peromyscus leucopus (white-footed mouse) is the source of this 648-nucleotide long non-coding RNA. RefSeq lists it as uncharacterized. The record is from RefSeq and is a predicted model, not a curated record. NCBI's taxonomy places the organism in Eukaryota, Metazoa, Chordata, Mammalia, Rodentia, Cricetidae. The transcript has 3 exons.